AGAGCGAACGCUGGCGGCAGGCUUAACACAUGCAAGUCGAGCGGCCGUAGCAAUACGGCAGCGGCAGACGGGAGAGUAACACGUGGGAACGCGCCCUUCGGUUCGGAAUAACUCAGGGAAACUUGGGCUAAUACCGGAUACGCCCUUACGGGGAAAGAUUUAUUGCCGAAGGAACGGCCCGCGUCCGAUUAGCUUGUUGGUGAGGUAACGGCUCACCAAGGCGACGAUCGGUAGCUGGUCUGAGAGGAUGACCAGCCUCACUGGGACUGAGACACGGCCCAGACUCCUACGGGAGGCAGCAGUGGGGAAUAUUGGACAAUGGGCGCAAGCCUGAUCCAGCCAUGCCGCGUGGGUGAUGAAGGCCCUAGGGUUGUAAAGCCCUUUCGGCGGGGAAGAUAAUGACGGUACCCGCAGAAGAAGCCCGGCUAACUUCGCGCCAGCAGCCGC
This 447-nucleotide ribosomal RNA is filed under the name uncultured bacterium. Its description in RNAcentral is "SSU rRNA". It matches the Rfam family "Bacterial small subunit ribosomal RNA", at positions 26 to 518 of the family's 1533-position model. The record is from RNAcentral.